CCCGGCGUCGCCGUGGUGGUGGGUUUCGUUUCGCCUCGACGCCUUCGCGCUUCCCCUGCGUUCCCUCGCUUCGCGCCGCGCAGUCGCCCGUUUGGGAUCCGCAUGCCGCCCGCGGUGUCGGGGGGCCGCCCGCCUGAGGCGUGCCGAGCCGUCGCGCCGAGCCGAGCUAAGGCAGCCCGCACCGGGCCGGUCCGCCGGUACAGCUUGUCCAGGUAAACGUUCAAGAAACACUUACCACGAACGAAAUUUCCUCUGAUGACGGUUAAGAGGGUACUGACCUUACUAGUUGGUUUACUACAGACGUGUAAAAUGGUCUUGCCACACACGAGAAUACCGUCGGCAACGUCUAUACUUGUACAACUUCAAAGAAGACUUAUGUGGGUUGGUAGUUGAUGACGUCGUGAACGUGGUAGGUUGAGAAUAGACAGUACCACAGGAGAAACACUCCCCCUUUAUCUACACUCGUUGGUCUGUGUGUUUUCAAAUAGCCAUACGAGACACGUAGUCAGAUGGACCUCUAAACUACUACUUCUAACGUAAGGUCUCCUACCCUUGUCGAACAGUAGUCGCGAUUGACGUGUUUUGGUUCGCGAGGUGGGUGAACGAGUAGACGGGUAUACGAGAAAACGGCGUCGACCUUGAACAGGGAUACCCUUUCUCACGGGAGUCUACGUACCCCUAGGUACGUGUUGGACACCUUUUGUCACGAACGUAGGGAUGGCCGGGUCGCUUCCACCCCGAGUAUAGUUCGAGACGUUCUCUUUGUUGUUUGCAGAACUCUGGAACUUUUUUUCACUUCUCUACCUUACAUCACACACAAACCUGGCACACGAAAGUUUCGGGUGUCGUCGCCUUUUCUCCAAACCCGAAGAUGGACUUACACUGGUACGGAAGACAUAGUGUACGUAAUCCUUCACCGCGUCGUCGAGAGAAUGUAGAAGAUACCUAUAGCUGAGAUGUCAGUUCCGAACAGGUUAUACGGCGUUUCAGAGCAUGAUGCAGUAAGGAUCACGAUGUACCAUGAGGAGCUUCCUCCUUUUUGUCCUAUAUUAACUGCCAAUGUUCCGGUUCGAGUUCAGUUAACUAACAUCCAUGAAACUGAAACCUUCCCUGUGAACGGGGAAACCACCAGCUACAAAGAUGUUCGUACGGAUGUGGCUACCCGCGAACCUCCUCGGCCGUUGCCACCGACACGAAGUAAAAGUACGGCUGUUACCUUCAUAUCUCGUACGUUCUUUAUAACCUAACCGCAUGAACGAGUCGGCCAAUGUAGAUAUCUUCCUUCGUCAACUCUUCUCUUCAUGCAUGAAUGAAUCCCUCGGUAUUGAAAGAGAGGGCGACCACCAACGACGGUUGAAUAUUAGGUGUCUUUGAAGUCAAACGGCGGCAUUUAGAGGUUUUUUCAAUGUUCUGUUGACAUUUGGAUUGCUGUCGCCUCUACAGUACGGAGUCUAGUAGUGCCCAAGGAACAGUACUUGUUAGUAACACAACAGAAACCCGAUCCUCAAGAGGACAGCUUGUACUCUUGAAGUGCAGCAAUGGAACGGGCACAUGCUUUCCGUGACAUAUAUGAGCAUCACCAUGUAGGACAGGCAAAGAGCAGGUACCUCAUUUAUUAAACAAGUCCGAUAUGUCCAUCUUGUCACGUUGCGUCUAGGAAGGUAUGCACUUAAAUACGAAACCGGGCGCCCAACUUUGGACGUUCCAGAGCCACCAUGAACGUCACGUCCAGGGUAGAUCUAUAAAUGUGCUUAACACGUUUUGCUUAAACUGGACUUGAAGCAACAGG
This 1789-nucleotide ribosomal RNA is filed under the name Triticum aestivum (bread wheat). RNAcentral's name for it is "partial small subunit ribosomal RNA". Lineage: Eukaryota; Viridiplantae; Streptophyta; Magnoliopsida; Poales; Poaceae. The record is from RNAcentral.